UAGAUAUGUUCUUUAAACCUAAAGAAUUUGGCGGUGUUUUAGUCCUUUCAGAGGAGUUUGUCCCGUUAUCGAUAGUCCUCGUUUUAAUUGUUCUUAAUUUUGUUUUCAGUGUGUAUACCGCCGUUAUAAGUUUAUUUUAUUAGAUUAUUAAUUUACUGUUUUUUUAAGUAAAAUAUAUUUCAGGUCAAGGUGCAGUUAAUAAUUAAGUGGAGAUGAACUACAUUAUUAUGUUAAAUAUAUGAAUUUAAGAUUGUAAUUCUUUUUGAAAGUGGAUUUGUUAGUAAUUUUAUUGAUAAUGAUAUUUUGAUUUUGGCUCUAAGAUAAGUACACAUCGCCCGUCGCUCUA
This 346-nucleotide ribosomal RNA is filed under the name Dimorphodes mancus catenulatus. Its description in RNAcentral is "partial small subunit ribosomal RNA". The record is from RNAcentral. Lineage: Eukaryota; Metazoa; Arthropoda; Insecta; Phasmatodea; Phasmatidae.